GCAAAGUUAUCUAGAGAGGCCAUAGCAUAGAGUCAUCUGGAAUAAGUCUGCCUUUCAAGCCAAGGCAAGUGUCUCCCUGAGUGGGGCUUGUCUCUGACAGCUGCAGCUGUCAGCUCCACUGACUUCCAGGAGAAAUGGCUGCUUGAUUGCUAGCUUCCUCUUUUCUGCAAAACUGGCAGGCCCAAGUCACAGCUGUCGCUGCCUGUGUGGAGUUCCACAAAGACCAGGUGUCAAUCCUCUCUCUGGGAAGUAGCUGCAAGAGCCUCAUUUCUUUUCUAUCUCCUUUGUGGCCGGGAGGUACGAUCAAGACACACACACACACACACACACACACACACACACACACGACAUAAAGGAAGACCAAUUCGAUAAGAAAAGCAAAGGCCACACUGAUUCAGAGCUUGCUACAGCACAGAGGGUAGCCACCACGGCUUAUGACUGGCUGACAUUCAAAGGUCUACAGUGGAGAGAAGAACUUGGUGUGUGUGGGGUGUGACAAGUUCUAACGGAUGUCAAACACUGCUGCUUCCUAACAGUGAGGGUCAAGAAAGACAGAACGUCGGGUGUUUCCUAGGAGCCCCUCUGACGCCAAGCAGUUCCACCAUGGCACUUGGAUCCAUCAUUGAAGUACUUGGCAAGAAAUUCAAUCAAGAAGGGGACAUAAAAUGAGAAAUAAUCUCCCUCUUAGCUCUGUGUCUAAGCUCCCUGCUGCAGAGGGUCUCCGUUGACUUACCCGCGGGCCGGGACAAGUGGCGCCCAACGUGGGGCCAGAGAACGGGGGAUCCAGUGAAGGACGCUGCUCAGGGGCCCUAAGAUUAAGAUUGAGGAACAAAGAGCAUACUUGAUAUAGAAGAGGCUUGCGAUUGACGUGGACCUGCCGUCUUUUUGCACCUCGGGAACAUCGUCAUCAUUUAAAGUUUGGACCUCCGGCGCACAAUGACAAGGGAACUCAUGAAGGACAUCUGGCUGAAUGAACGAUCCGAAAACAAGAAUAGGAUGAGCUGGAAAUGCCUAGUUCCCCUGAUGUUGCUGACCAGGGUAUGGGUGGUGUCGCCUUCAGAAGGGUUAGACCACAUGAAAAAUAUAUGGAUUCAGUUGGCAGGCUCGCUCAACUUAUCUGAAUUUUGUCUAAGUGCUGAUGUAAACUUUCAUUAUAUGUUGGGAAGUUGCCUCGUUCCUGUAUGUACCCCAUUGGAAUCAUUGCGGCCUUAUACUCUGUUUAAAGAUAUUCCAGGAAAAAAUCUCACAUAUGCAGAUAGUUACAAUUGGGGAUCUGCUACUUGUCGCAGGCCCAAGAAUGCUGUCAAAUUAUAUUCACCUAAGGUAAUUAUGUCUAAUAAGACCGAAUGUGCUGUAUACAGAAAUUGUACAACUAAAUGUCUACAAGUUAAACGUUUGGAAAACAUGUCCUGCCGUGUUGAACAAGAAAUUAUGUAUAGUAAUUGCCAUGUCUCUUUGCCAAUGGGUUGGUUUUACACUUGUGAAAGGGAAACUUUUAAUUACAUUCCGGCCAACUUGAGUGACACUCGUUGUUGCUUGAGUCGGUUGGCUGUGAUAUUACCAGACAGAACUGAUUUGGUUGUACCUAAUCGAAUUAG
RNAcentral lists this long non-coding RNA (1598 nucleotides) under Heterocephalus glaber (naked mole-rat). RNAcentral's name for it is "lncRNA (ENSHGLG00100033980.1)". Lineage: Eukaryota; Metazoa; Chordata; Mammalia; Rodentia; Bathyergidae. The record is from RNAcentral.